CUGUCCAAAUCAACAUUAAACGUAUAGUCAAUAGAACCAAAUCCGCCGAGGAACCAAAUCUGCAAACAUCAAGCCGCGUCAAACCCGGCGGAUAUGGUUCCGAUUAAAAACGAUAUCGGCCAUUUAGAACCAUAUCUGCCGGCGGAUACGGUAUCCGCCGGUGGAACCAAAUCCGCCGCUACACCGGCGGCGCGUUUCCGUUUUACACCCUGGCGAAGGCAAUCUCCGCAAAAAUAGCUACAAAGCGACUAGUGAAGAGUCUAAAGUUUGUUUACAUUAUCAGCUGGGCGCGCGAUGCAAAAGUCCGCAUCGAAGAUAUCUGCAGAACAUGUGCAAAUGCAGCUAAGCUUAUUACUAUUGUAAAGAUGGAAAGGGAUAACGAUGGUAGAUACCUUACAUUCGACUGUGAAUUAGAUGGAGUUAGAAUGAUAUUAGGAAAUGUUUAUUUCCAACUAGGAACAAGGCAAAUGAGCAAAUAGAAGAGUCCUGCAAAAGAUCAAUAUCAUUAUAAAUAAAAAUUCUCUCAGUCAUGUUAUUAUAUUAGGUGGUGAUUUUAAUAUGAUAUUAGAUGAUAAAUUAGAUGAUAAGGGGUCAACCAUACAGGUGAAAUCUAGAUUUAAUACAGAAUUUUUGGAGUUCAUGGACAAAUUUCAAUUAAUAGAUAUUUGGAGGAAAAUAUAUCCAGGAAAACAACAGUUUACUUUAAGACAGAAGACACUACCUAUUCAAAGUAGGCUAGAUUAUUGGAUAAUAUCAAAAGAAGUUGAAACAUUGGUGCUGGAAUAUGACAUUUUACCGUAACUCCAGACCAUUCUGGAAUCUUGCUUACCUGUAGUAGUGGAAAAAAAGAAGUGAAGCGAGGUCCUUCAUAUUGGAAAUUCAAUUAUUAUGAUAAAGAAUAUAUGUUCUGCUAUGAAAAAUGAGAUUCUUAGUUCAGUGGAAAAAGCAACACAGAAAUGUCUUUUCUAAUUACUCAUUGCUUUGGGGCUUUAUUAGAUUAAAGAUUAGAGAGUGUACUCGAAAAUAUUCUAAAGAAAAGGCACGAGAAAGAAAUAAGCUGAUUUUAGAGUCCAAAGUGAAAGACUUAUGGGGCGUUGCAAGAAAGUUAUGUUGCAAUUGAUUGCAAAUCGACUGCAACUUUGCAGCCGAUUCCGAUCGACUGCAACUAGCAAUCAAUCGCCAAUUUGCGUUGCAAGAAAAAGGCUUGCGAUUGAACGCAAGUUGCAGCUGACCUGCAGAUGCAGACGAUUUGCAGCUGUAAACAGGGUCUGCAGCACAAGACUAGCCGAAAAAGCAAAAUAAUGGCUUGCAACAAUCCUGUUUGUGGAAGAGAUUAUGACAAAGAAGUCUGGAACCUCAGAACCACCAUAACUGUGUCUGCUACAAUGUGUGUUCUUGCAACCAGCUGAUUGAUUCAUUUUAUCAACUCUUGAAUGGUUGAUUAUCAGAACUGAAUUCAGAGCUGCUCCUGUCUGUAGCAGGGGCCGCGGAACCGGGG
Long non-coding RNA from Lytechinus pictus (painted urchin), 1498 nucleotides. RefSeq lists it as uncharacterized. Lineage: Eukaryota; Metazoa; Echinodermata; Echinoidea; Temnopleuroida; Toxopneustidae. The record is from RefSeq and is a predicted model, not a curated record. The transcript is spliced from 3 exons.